Molecule: ribosomal RNA, 821 nt
Filed under: Bacillus safensis
Lineage: Bacteria; Bacillati; Bacillota; Bacilli; Caryophanales; Bacillaceae
Description: bacterial SSU rRNA
Rfam family: Bacterial small subunit ribosomal RNA
Source: RNAcentral
UGCAAGUCGAGCGGACAGAAGGGAGCUUGCUCCCGGAUGUUAGCGGCGGACGGGUGAGUAACACGUGGGUAACCUGCCUGUAAGACUGGGAUAACUCCGGGAAACCGGAGCUAAUACCGGAUAGUUCCUUGAACCGCAUGGUUCAAGGAUGAAAGACGGUUUCGGCUGUCACUUACAGAUGGACCCGCGGCGCAUUAGCUAGUUGGUGGGGUAAUGGCUCACCAAGGCGACGAUGCGUAGCCGACCUGAGAGGGUGAUCGGCCACACUGGGACUGAGACACGGCCCAGACUCCUACGGGAGGCAGCAGUAGGGAAUCUUCCGCAAUGGACGAAAGUCUGACGGAGCAACGCCGCGUGAGUGAUGAAGGUUUUCGGAUCGUAAAGCUCUGUUGUUAGGGAAGAACAAGUGCGAGAGUAACUGCUCGCACCUUGACGGUACCUAACCAGAAAGCCACGGCUAACUACGUGCCAGCAGCCGCGGUAAUACGUAGGUGGCAAGCGUUGUCCGGAAUUAUUGGGCGUAAAGGGCUCGCACGCGGUUUCUUAAGUCUGAUGUGAAAGCCCCCGGCUCAACCGGGGAGGGUCAUUGGAAACUGGGAAACUUGAGUGCAGAAGAGGAGAGUGGAAUUCCACGUGUAGCGGUGAAAUGCGUAGAGAUGUGGAGGAACACCACUGGCGAAGGCGACUCUCUGGUCUGUAACUGACGCUGAGGAGCGAAAGCGUGGGGAGCGAACAGGAUUAGAUACCCUGGUAGUCCACGCCGUAAACGAUGAGUGCUAAGUGUUAGGGGGUUUCCGCCCCUUAGUGCUGCAGCUAACGCA